GGGGUAGUGGCUCAGUGGUAGAGUGCUCACCUAGCAUGUGUGGGGCUCUGGGUUCUAUCCUUAGCACCACA
RNAcentral lists this transfer RNA (71 nucleotides) under Marmota monax (woodchuck). RNAcentral describes it as "tRNA.Ala". Lineage: Eukaryota; Metazoa; Chordata; Mammalia; Rodentia; Sciuridae. The record is from RNAcentral.